RNAcentral lists this ribosomal RNA (516 nucleotides) under uncultured bacterium. Its description in RNAcentral is "bacterial SSU rRNA". It matches the Rfam family "Bacterial small subunit ribosomal RNA", at positions 29 to 518 of the family's 1533-position model. The record is from RNAcentral.
ACGAACGCUGGCGGCGUGCUUAACACAUGCAAGUCGAACGGGGCGAUUGAAAGCUUGCUUUGAUGAGCCUAGUGGCAAACGGGUGAGUAACGCGUAGGCAACCUGCCCUCAGGAUGGGGACAACGGCCCGAAAGGACCGCUAAUACCGAAUGACGUAUCGGAAUCGCAUGAUACUGAUACCAAAGGCGGAGCAAUCCGUCACCUGAGGAUGGGCCUGCGUCUGAUUAGGUAGUUGGUGAGGGUAACGGCCCACCAAGCCGACGAUCAGUAGCCGGUCUGAGAGGAUGAACGGCCACAUUGGGACUGAGACACGGCCCAGACUCCUACGGGAGGCAGCAGGUGGGGAAUCUUCCGCAAGUGGGCGAAAGCCUGACGGAGCAACGCCGCGUGAGUGAAGGAAAGGUCUUCGGAUACGUAAAGCUCUGUUGGUCGGGGACGAAGGGGCAGAUCAGGAAAUGGGUCUGCUUAGACGGUACCUGACGAGGAAGCCACGGCUAACUACGUGCCAGCAGCUGC